UGGGGAAUAUUGGACAAUGGGGGAAACCCUGAUCCAGCGACGCCGCGUGGGUGAAGAAGGCCUGCGGGUUGUAAAGCCCUUUCGGUGAGGAAGAAAAGUUGCGACCUAACACGUCGCGACCUUGACGUAACUCAUUAAAGAAGCACCGGCUAACUCUGUGCCAGCAGCCGCGGUAAUACAGAGGGUGCGAGCGUUAAUCGGAAUUACUGGGCGUAAAGCGCGCGUAGGCGGCUUUGCAAGUCGGGUGUGAAAUCCCCAGGCCUAACCUGGGAACUGCACUCGAGACUGCAUGGCUAGAGUAUCGGAGAGGGAAGUGGAAUUUCAGGUGUAGCGGUGAAAUGCGUAGAUAUCUGAAGGAACAUCAGUGGCGAAAGCGACUUCCUGGACGAAUACUGACGCUCAUGUGCGAAAGCGUGGGGAGCAAACAG
This 428-nucleotide ribosomal RNA is filed under the name uncultured bacterium. RNAcentral describes it as "bacterial SSU rRNA". It matches the Rfam family "Bacterial small subunit ribosomal RNA", at positions 355 to 775 of the family's 1533-position model. The record is from RNAcentral.